RNAcentral lists this ribosomal RNA (402 nucleotides) under uncultured Sphingomonas sp. RNAcentral describes it as "bacterial SSU rRNA". It matches the Rfam family "Bacterial small subunit ribosomal RNA", at positions 355 to 774 of the family's 1533-position model. Lineage: Bacteria; Pseudomonadati; Pseudomonadota; Alphaproteobacteria; Sphingomonadales; Sphingomonadaceae. The record is from RNAcentral.
UGGGGAAUAUUGGACAAUGGGCGAAAGCCUGAUCCAGCAAUGCCGCGUGAGUGAUGAAGGCCUUAGGGUUGUAAAGCUCUUUUACCCGGGAUGAUAAUGACAGUACCGGGAGAAUAAGCCCCGGCUAACUCCGUGCCAGCAGCCGCGGUAAUACGGAGGGGGCUAGCGUUGUUCGGAAUUACUGGGCGUAAAGCGCACGUAGGCGGCUUUGUAAGUUAGAGGUGAAAGCCCGGAGCUCAACUCCGGAACUGCCUUUAAGACUGCAUCGCUCGAAUCAUGGAGAGGUCAGUGGAAUUCCGAGUGUAGAGGUGAAAUUCGUAGAUAUUCGGAAGAACACCAGUGGCGAAGGCGACUGACUGGACAUGUAUUGACGCUGAGGUGCGAAAGCGUGGGGAGCAAACA